RNAcentral lists this long non-coding RNA (236 nucleotides) under Mytilus galloprovincialis (Mediterranean mussel). Lineage: Eukaryota; Metazoa; Mollusca; Bivalvia; Mytilida; Mytilidae. The record is from RNAcentral.
UGUUGUCAACGGGUCAGAAAUUGUUUCUCCAAUUCUCUAUUGCUUGACAUAGCUUUGGUUUUGUAAUCUUUUCUAUGUUUUCGUACUUAUGAUUCUUUUUGUUAAUCUAUGACCAUACAUAACUGCAUAAGGCAGGUUUUGGAUCCAAUUAGACUAGUUAAACCUCGUCGAAUGUUUUGUGCGCCUGAACCGAGUCCAUAAAAUGAUGGUAAUUUGUACGUCCUUGACACGGUAGA